AUGCUCACAAUGUCUGUACCUGUAUGUGUUUCCAUAGCAGCCCAUUUAAAGGACUGCAUUUGGAGUGGUGACUCUGUUUCCUUCUUUUGCAGUGUAUUUAUGGAAAACCUGCAGGGUCUGUUUUCACCACAAAUGCAUAUGCUGUUGUCUCACAUCACAACCAAAAUCCAGAGUUCUAUGAUGAGAUUAAAAUUGAGCUUCCCAUUCACCUGCAUCAAAAACAUCAUUUGCUUUUCACCUUUUAUCAUGUAAGUUGUGAAAUUAACACAAAGGGAACAACCAAAAAGCAGGACACAGUUGAAACACCAGGUAUGUGAGUUAUUUAAUUUCUUUUAAUUUUUUUUGUGGUGUGGGGAAUCAAACCCAGGGUUGUACACUCUUUAGAUGUCUCUCUACAGCUGUCUGAAAUGGAACUGUCUGGGAUAUAACCUCUUUUCAUCAAGCUGUAGACCAUUUUCCCCCUUGAACAAAAAGUACAUUUCUGAGUUUAAAAGUUCCUUGAUCACAGUGAUAUACACCUGUAGUCCCAGCUACUUGGGGGGCUUAGGCAGAAAGAUCACUUGAGCCCAGGAGUUUGAGGCCAGCCUAGGCAACAUAGAAAGACCCAUCUCCUUGCCAGAAGAAUAGUUCAUUGGCAAAAAAUGAGUUGUAUAUGGAUUUUAUAUCCCUUAUACUGAGUAUCAUUGUCCUCACAUCCCAAUAUGCUUGCCAAUGUGCUUAAACUGCGAUAAGCAACAUAAAGUAAUAUUGCUGUUCUCAGAGGGAAACACAUAUUGUGAUACAGUAUUGUUAUUUCUUUUAUGUAAAUUUGCCCAGCAACCAGAAUUUUCCAGUUCUGCUUACUGAGGAAGAGGGAAGUGAGCCCAGAGCCAGGGACAUCUGUGAGCCGGAGGGAGGUUGGGGGCUGCCUGUUUCUAAUGAGAAGAGAACAGAUUUAAUGAAGUUGAAUAAGCUUUAGUAGAGAAGUGCAAGUCCUGGUCCCAUUUCAGCAAGGCUUUAGAUAAACCAGUGGGAAGCAGCCUUAGGAGACAUUGAAGGCCUGCAAGUAUAGCCCAUGUCACACCCACUUCAUGUAUGUCGUGUCCUGGGAUGCAAAUCAAGCCAGCCUGGAUCAAUCAAUCAAUCAUUCAUUCACUCAUUCAGCAAAUAUGUCUGUGUAUUUAUUAUGUGCAAGAUAUUGUAGUAGGUAUUAUGGAGAAUACAAUGAAGAAUGCAACACAGAUCUCAACUUCAGUGAGCAUAUGAUCUAGUUGGGAAAGUGAGUCCUAUGUAGACAUAUACAGGAUAGAAAGUGGUGAUUGCCAAGAAAGCCAUUCUGUGUGAACUCAGAGAAUAGUGAGUUAUUCAGCUGGUGGAAAGACAAGUAGCUGAUAGUUGAGGAAGGAAGUGAAGGUCCUAAAGGAUAUGCUGGAUUCUGGGAUGAAGGAAGAGCUUGUAAAGGGUUAGCAUACUGAGGGGUAGCAUGUCAAGUUAAAAAGGAGGCAUCAGAUUGUGGAAAGCCUGGAAUGCCAGGCUGUGGAUUUGAUUUUAUUCUGUCACCAAUAUGGUACUAUCAAAGGUUCAUAAACACUAGUAAGAACUGUUGUGGAAGAAAAGGAAUCAGGCGGUAACGUAAAGGGCAAGGAAAUUUGGAGCAGGAAGCAGGAAGGUCAGAAGAAAUACCAGUUAGGGAGCUUUUUCAAAGGUCCAGAAGAGGAAAGAGGCCACAUUGUGAUAGUGUCAGGAAGGCACAGAAAAAGGGAAUUACAGAAAAAGUGUAAGUCUCCUUACUAUCUAUGCAUUCCUCAUCCAUGUAUUCAAUCAACUGUGAAUUAAAAAUAUUUUUAAAGUUGGAUCUGAACUAAAUAUGUAUAUACUGUUUUCCUUCUCAUCAGUUCCAAAACAAUGCAAUAAAACAACUAUUUAUAUUGCA
This 1912-nucleotide long non-coding RNA is filed under the name Castor canadensis (American beaver). RNAcentral describes it as "lncRNA (ENSCCNG00000030496.1)". Lineage: Eukaryota; Metazoa; Chordata; Mammalia; Rodentia; Castoridae. The record is from RNAcentral.